UAGUCAUAGCUCUGCCCUAAUUGGCGGCGGAAAUGUCUAAUGGCGGUUGCGGGCGUUGGGAUGUUGCGUGCUGGUAAAGAUGAGGUUUUGUAGACUCAGCGCACGUGUCACAUCUUUGUAACGUCCAUUGUUCCUUUGCUUUCCAUUGUUUAGACACAUCUCUUUUUGUACACUGAUGGGAGUCUUUGUUUAUAUUUAUAAUAUCUAAUUCUUAUAUUGGGCCAAUGUAGGAGGUAACACUAAGCAUAAGCCUGAGAAAAAUUACAUUCCCUAGAGGAGCUCCUGUGUCGUGAGAUUGCGUGUCCUUUCGGCUUGUUGAGUGCACUUCUUCAAAAGCACGGGACUGGCACCUAACAAAAGGAUGUCAAACUCAAUCUCUCACCAUUUUAAAUUAAGUAUAGCAGCAAUUUUGCAAUACUAUUUUUCUUUUCCUGACAAAAAAGUAAUAGUUGGCAAGGAUUAAAUGAAAUGUUUUUACUUUUCCGAUACAUGUUUAGAUUAAAUGAUAGUAUAAUGAUUGAAUUGUAUAUUGUCCCCUUGGUAAUAAAUCUUAUAUGAAGUAUUUGUAAAUAAAUGUUAUGUUUUAAGUAGAAUUAUUUCUAGAAAAAUAACUGCACUAUUUAUUCCAUAUAAGGAUGUAACUGAAUGAUCUGUACAAACUUUGAGAAUAAGUUCAAGAGACCUAACAAAUAGAAAAUAUUCUAUGAACAUGGGAUCAUAAAUGUUUGCUUAUAUAGUUAUGAUGAUUCAAAGUUUUCCUGCAAUGACUAAAGAAAUUAUUAUGUCAAAUGGAUAUAUAUAAUAAUAUAAUACUAUAAAUACUGCUA
This is a long non-coding RNA of Vespula pensylvanica (western yellowjacket), 827 nucleotides long. RefSeq lists it as uncharacterized. The record is from RefSeq and is a predicted model, not a curated record. NCBI's taxonomy places the organism in Eukaryota, Metazoa, Arthropoda, Insecta, Hymenoptera, Vespidae. The transcript is spliced from 3 exons.